UACAAAAUGACUCUCGGCAACGGAUAUCUCGGCUCUUGCAUCGAUGAAGAACGUAGCGAAAUGCGAUACUUGGUGUGAAUUGCAGAAUCCCGUGAACCAUCGAGUCUUUGAACGCAAGUUGCGCCCGAAGCCAUUAGGCCGAGGGCACGCCUGCCUGGGUGUCACA
This 166-nucleotide ribosomal RNA is filed under the name Austrosteenisia blackii. RNAcentral describes it as "5.8S ribosomal RNA". It matches the Rfam family "5.8S ribosomal RNA". From Rfam's summary of the family: 5.8S ribosomal RNA (5.8S rRNA) is a component of the large subunit of the eukaryotic ribosome. It is transcribed by RNA polymerase I as part of the 45S precursor that also contains 18S and 28S rRNA. The record is from RNAcentral. RNAcentral also lists the same sequence under 3 other names. Lineage: Eukaryota; Viridiplantae; Streptophyta; Magnoliopsida; Fabales; Fabaceae.